This is a long non-coding RNA of Tachyglossus aculeatus (Australian echidna), 291 nucleotides long. RefSeq lists it as uncharacterized. NCBI's taxonomy places the organism in Eukaryota, Metazoa, Chordata, Mammalia, Monotremata, Tachyglossidae. The record is from RefSeq and is a predicted model, not a curated record. The transcript is spliced from 5 exons.
AGUCUAGGUCCAGCAUCAGUUUAUUGGAGGGUCCCAGCUGAUACAAGAACACCAUCAGACCGAUCCCUCCGGGAAGCGCUGCUGGGGGAAAUCUCGGCAAUAGGACCACUUCAACGAUAUCGUAAACGGUCCAGUAUUGGUGUAAUGAGGGGGAUCGGAUCCAGAUGGUGCAAUACAGGAGCACCAUCAGACCCAUCCCUCUGGGAAGCGCUGCUGGGGGAAAUCUCGGCAAUAGGACCACUUCAACGAUACCAUAACCGACAUCACGCCUGGGAGAGGGGGAAUGACGAC